Molecule: microRNA, 22 nt
Filed under: Heliconius melpomene (postman butterfly)
Lineage: Eukaryota; Metazoa; Arthropoda; Insecta; Lepidoptera; Nymphalidae
Description: Hme-Novel-5-P5_3p (mature (guide))
Source: RNAcentral
UUUGCCUUUAGUUAGUUUCCGA